GCAGUCAAGAAUAUUAGUCAAUGCUCGCAAGAGUGAACUAGCUAACUGAAAUUAUAAUUACUCGGGGGACUGAGAGAAGAUGUAAUAACGUAAUGGGCCGUUUACGAUAAAAACGGAAUUAGAAAAAUAUGAUAUGACCAUUACUAUUAGUGCUGUCCAAAUCUGGUGCCAGAAGACUCGGUAAGGCCAGAAGCGCGUACGUUAGUCACAUUAAACAGGCGUAAAGGGUGUGUAGGCGGCUUUUUAAAACCGAUCUUUUAAGUUAACUACUUUAUAAUAACAUCGAAUAUUAUACUGCAAAAAAAAAGAAAGGCGACUAAAAGCUAGAAUCUAAUCGAGGUUAAACAGAAUAAUACUUAGUGUAGGGAUUAAAUCUUUAGAUAUUAAGUGGAAUACUAAUAGGUGUAAGCUUUUAUCCAUUAAUGAUUGACGCUGAGACACGAAGGCGGGAAAAGGAAAUAGGAUUAGAUACCCAAAGUACCUCUCGCUGUCAACGAUGUAUGGUUUUCUAGGUAGUUGUAUAACUGCUAUUGACGCUAACGCUCUAACCAUACCGCCUUGCGAGUACGGUUGCAAAACUGAAACCAAAAAAAUUAGUCGGCCUCGGAGCAAACGAAGUGAAGCAUGUUAUUUAU
RNAcentral lists this ribosomal RNA (635 nucleotides) under Mycena brunneisetosa. Its description in RNAcentral is "partial small subunit ribosomal RNA". It matches the Rfam family "Bacterial small subunit ribosomal RNA", at positions 351 to 949 of the family's 1533-position model. The record is from RNAcentral. Lineage: Eukaryota; Fungi; Basidiomycota; Agaricomycetes; Agaricales; Mycenaceae.